RNAcentral lists this long non-coding RNA (604 nucleotides) under Lathyrus oleraceus (garden pea). RNAcentral's name for it is "Pisum sativum (pea) long non-coding RNA (PSAT_LNC006597)". The record is from RNAcentral. Lineage: Eukaryota; Viridiplantae; Streptophyta; Magnoliopsida; Fabales; Fabaceae.
UCCUCUAUCCUCUAUCUGACAAAAUGAAAAUAUUCUCUUAAUUUAUCUAAGGUUCAUACUGAUUUUUCUUUUUCAUAUUGAAUUGUUCCUGAAGAGUGAACAAUUGAUGCCAUAUAAAGUUGUUAUACAUAUUUUAUAAAUCAAAAUUGUAAUUUUCUAUUGCUUUAGGUUUUGUCUUGUUGUUAAUCAGUAAAUUUCGACUAGAGCAAAAGAAGGAGUAAGAGUGAGAGUUUUGACAGGCAAGAUGGGCCAAACGACAUAGGCCAGGUUGAAAGGAUGUUGAAGGGGAAUGAGGCAGUCGAAGUUGAAGCCAAACAAGCAAAAAAGAGAUAAUCAGUUGAGAAAAAUGUGGGGGAAGUUUCAAAAGACGUGGGGCUGCAGGUUUAGACGCGUGGCAUAUUGUAGAUGGUCGUCGACAAUGUAGCAGUUAUUUCUCAUUACUAUUUAAGUAGAUUUGAUUUCAAGUUUUAAGGGUCGCAUUUGUAACAUUGUAGAGGUAAAACACUCAAAGUAUCGAGCGUUUAGAGAAAAGAGUUCAUUCCUACAAAAAUGUAUGCUUGCGUUCACAUUUUAAGCACUUUAAAUGACCAAGUCUUUUUAUUUG